GAUGAACGCUGGCGGCGUGCUUAAUACAUGCAAGUCGAACGAAGUGAAGUAAAGCUUGCUUUAUGGAACUUAGUGGCGAACGGGUGAGUAAUACAUAAGCAACCUGCCCAUCGGACUGGGAUAACUGUUGGAAACGAUAGCUAAUACCGGAUAGGUAAACGGAAGGCAUCUUCUGUUUAUUAAAGUUUAGAUACACUGAUGGAUGGGCUUAUGGCGCAUUAGCUAGUUGGUGAGGUAACGGCCCACCAAGGCUGUGAUGCGUAGCCGACCUGAGAGGGUGACCGGCCACAUUGGGACUGAGACACGGCCCAAACUCCUACGGGAGGCAGCAGUAAGGAAUUUUCGGCAAUGGGCGCAAGCCUGACCGAGCAACGCCGCGUGAGUGAUGAAGGCCUUAUGGGUUGUAAAACUCUGUUGUAAAGGAAGAACACUAUUGAUAGAAUCAGUAGCUGACGGUACUUUACCAGAAAGCCACGGCUAACUACGUGCCAGCAGCCGCGGUAAUACGUAGGUGGCAAGCGUUAUCCGGAAUUAUUGGGCGUAAAGGGUGCGCAGUCGGCAAAUUAAGUUUGUGGUGAAAGUGCGGGGCUUAACUCCGUAUUGCCAUGAAAACUGGUUGGCUAGAGUGCAGAAGAGGUAGUGGAAUUCCAUGUGUAGCGGUAAAAUGCGUAGAUAUAUGGAGGAACACCAGUGGCGAAUGCGGCUACCUGGUCUGUAACUGACGAUGAUGUACGAAAGCGUGGGGAGCAAAUAGGAUUAGAUACCCUAUAGUCCACGCUGUAACGAUGAUACUAAGUGUUGGGGAAACUCAGUGCUGCAGCUACGCAAUAAGUUUUCCGCCUGGGGAGUAUGCACGCAAGUGUGAAACUCAAAGGAAUUGACGGGGGCCCGCACAAGCGGUGGAUUAUGUGGUUUAAUUCGAUGCAACGCGAAGAACCUUACCAGAACUUGACAUCGUCUGCAUUACUCUUAAUCGAGGAAGUCCUUCGGGACAGAUAGACAGGUGGUGCAUGGUUGUCGUCAGCUCGUGUCGUGAGAUGUUGGGUUAAGUCCCGCAACGAGCGCAACCCUCAUCCUUAGUUGCCAUCAUUAAGUUGGGCACCCUAAGGAAACUGCCGCAGUUAAUGCGGAGGAAGGUGGGGAUGACGUCAAGUCCUCAUGGCCCUUAUAUCCAGGGCUACACACGUGCUACAAUGAGCGGCACAAAGGGUCGCAAACCCGCGAGGGGGAGCUAAUCCCACAAAUCCGCUCCUAGUUCGGAUUGGAGUCUGCAACCCGACUCCAUGAAGCUGGAAUCGCUAGUAAUCGCGGAUCAGCAUGCCGCGGUGAAUACGUUCCCGGGCCUUGUACACACCGCCCGUCACACCACGAAAGCUUGUUGUACCAGAAGUCGUUGGGCUAACCCGCAAGGGAUGCAGAUGCCGAAGGUAUGACAGGUAAUUGGGGUG
RNAcentral lists this ribosomal RNA (1448 nucleotides) under uncultured bacterium. Its description in RNAcentral is "bacterial SSU rRNA". It matches the Rfam family "Bacterial small subunit ribosomal RNA". The record is from RNAcentral.